GGCUCAUUAAAUCAGUUAUAAUUUAUUUGAUAUUCACUUACUACUUGGAUAACCGUGGUAAUUCUAGAGCUAAUACAUGCGUACAUAACCUCGACUUCUGGAAGAGGUGCACUUAUUAGAUAAAAAGCCAACGCGGGCAACCGCUUGUAUGGUGAUUCAUAAUAAUUAAUCGAAUCGCAUGGCCUUGUGCCGGCGAUGAUGCAUUCAAAUUUCUGCCCUAUCAAGUUUCGAUGGUAGGUUAGUGGCCUACCAUGCUUUUAACGGGUAACGGGGAAUUAGGGUUCGAUUCCGGAGAGGGAGCCUGAGAAACGGCUACCACAUCCAAGGAAGGCAGCAGGCGCGCAAAUUACCCAAUCCCGACACGGGGAGGUAGUGACAAUAAAUAACAAUACAGGGCCUUUACGGGUCUUGUAAUUGGAAUGAGUACAAUUUAAAUCCCUUAACGAGGAACAAUUGGAGGGCAAGUCUGGUGCCAGCAGCCGCGGUAAUUCCAGCUCCAAUAGCGUAUAUUAAAGUUGUUGCAGUUAAAAAGCUCGUAGUUGAAUUUUGGCCUUGGUUUGUGAGGUUCGGCCUUCACUGGUCGGUACCUUUACGAACCGGGCUCCACCUUCUGGGUUAGCCAGUUGUUACUUCGGUGCAGCUGGUGAACCAGAACUUUUA
This 660-nucleotide ribosomal RNA is filed under the name Umbelopsis sp. RNAcentral's name for it is "SSU rRNA". It matches the Rfam family "Eukaryotic small subunit ribosomal RNA", at positions 95 to 754 of the family's 1831-position model. Lineage: Eukaryota; Fungi; Mucoromycota; Umbelopsidomycetes; Umbelopsidales; Umbelopsidaceae. The record is from RNAcentral.